GGCUCACAUGACUCAGUGCAUGCUCUUUGCAAUUAAGCUCCUCUUCACGGAGGCUGCUUUAGUUCUGCUUUGGUUUGGCUGGUGUCCAUGACAUGCUAUUUGCUACCUUUUUCUAAUAGUUUGCCUAUACUCUUUUUUAAAUUGUUCUACAACUUUUAGGGAGAAUCUAGAUACCUACAACUCUAUUCUGCUUUGUGGUCUAGGAAUAGAAGCUAUGUCUGCUAAGAAGCAGGAGCAAAAUGGUUGCUGAGCACCCGAGGAACAGAUUUCUUGAGUUGGAAUCCUUCCUCUGCACUUUGCUCUUGGAUCCCAGACAACGUGACUGAACCUGUUCUGUCUCCACUUCCAGUAACACAAGAACAAUGGCAGCAAAAGAUUCGGGUCUUCCAGAGAGGCCUUCCUCAACCAGUCCCUUGCCCUCUCAUCUCACACUGUGUUUCCGCAGAAUUUGGCCUGGGAUAAUCAUACAGACUGUGUCCCUCCCAAAGAUUGACAGUUUUAAGUACUGCAUGAUACUGCUUGCCAACUAGAGAUCAUUCCACAGACCAAAUUCUAAGAGCGAGGAGGCUUCACAAUAUCUAACUUAACAAAGAAGAAAUAUUUCCAUAAUGCUGUACUUCGCGGAAAAAGAAGGGUGGUGACUCCAAUCAAUUUUCAUUCAGAAGUCUCUUGUUUCUAACCUGACUAUUUAUCCACCCAUCCCCAAGGCAAUGAAUAUCACAUACCAAUGUGUAUACAAGUGAGUUCGCCUUGAAUGGAAUCGCAAUACAUAUUGGGAAUGGAAUUUUCUUUUCCUCAUCUGAGCAUUCAACAAUGAUGACGUUGCUGACCAACUCUUCGUUAUCACUCACUAUAAAGGAACUCAGGCUGUUAACUAUGUGGCAGUCCACCUGCUGCAGGACAUGCAAUGGGGCAGUGAUGUAACAAGACACUUGAGGGUCAGCUCCAUCACUCAGCAUGUCAAGAUACCUGCAGGGAGAAAAAGUGAGCUUCAUUUUCAACUACUCUAUUCUUGCACUUUAUAGGUAAAUGCAGACGGUCACAACUUUUGAGGCACAUUGCUUGAUGUGAACUUUAGCUUUCCUAUUCUUUUUUUAAAUCUUUGUAGUCAAAUAUCACAAUUUCCUCUAAUAUGGGGUGAAAAUGAUAUCCACUUCGCAGGAAAACUUUGUGUUAAAUGUAUUAUUCUACAGGAAUUAUCAAGAACUACGCCCUCACAUUGUAAGAAAUACUGUAUUAACUAUAUUAGCUAAGAAGAUAAACUAUGAUUGUUUUUGACUAAUUUUAUUAUCAGUAUUGUUACUUUAUUCCUCACUAUUAUUCAUCAUAUAAUAAAGUAAAAAUAGAUAAUGUUUUUAAAGAAAUGAAUGUAACUGUGAGGAGAGUCUUUAUGGGUACGUCCUCUAAUAUUGCAAGAAUGGAUUCUUUUUCUGGUGAUUUGAAAGUGAAAGACAGAAAAGAGAGAAGUCCCAGCAGUCAUCCAGUUUUACUUAAAGCAAAAUUACACAUACAUGUGCAUGCACAUAAACCCCACAAAAAUAAAGACAGAGACAGAGACACAGAUAAAGACAGUCAGACAGAGAAAGACAAAAGGAGAAACAGAGAGAUAAAGACACACAGAGAGAGGAUUAAAAAUGGUGCAGAGUGUAUUCAGACUCUAUACGAUUAGGGGUGGGGUGGAUUCCCUUUCUUCCUAAGAACUGACUGGUUUGGGAUAUUGCAGGACCCUGAAUAACCCAGACAAAGAAGAAAAGCUAACUGCUCUCUUUUACAGGCUCACCCCUGACUCCCCACCUCUCUUGGAAGACUUGAAAAUUCUGAACAGUUCCUUUUGUAGAGAAAAAGGGAUCUGUAUGACUCCAACCACCUCAAGAAGAAGUAAUGAAGAUGAAGUACAGAAAUUGUUCAGCGUCCCGUGAUCAGUGAGCAAAGUACUUGCUAAAAAACAUACACAUGGUGAUGUUUUCCUGGGAACGGCGCUGUGCAUCUAUAUAGUGGAUCAGCAGCAUGUUAUGGAUCCAGAUGAGAACAGAAAAGAGGAGGGAGAGGAUUGUGAAAGUAGCUGGGCAUUAUGUCAAAUAAUACGCGAACAUUUAGCUUAGUGUGAAAUAUGACUGAGUGACUCAACGCUAGGCCCCUCUGUGAUUGUCUCAUUUGCUAUCAAAUGCUCCACGGAAGGAGAAAGUACUCUUAUAAAUGAGAAACUGAGACCAAAAAACAAACACACAGGUAAAAAGAAAGAAAAAGAAAACACAAGUUGCCCAGUGACAAAAAACCGACUCAUAAGGAGACAGCAAAUAAAAAUAAAUUUUUCCCUGUUCCCUAAAUAUUUUCUCACUAUAACACAUUGCUAAGGAAGAUUUUGUAUUUAUAUGGGAAAACAUAAUUAGAAAUUAUCAGUUUAUACAAAUCAAGAAUUAUUGUUACCUUACAGUUGGGAGGGGGAGAUAGCUCAUAUAAUACAUCAGUCUUUUUCUCCUCUUUAUUCCAUGCGCUUUUAAAGAAUUUAGUAAGAAAAAGAAAGACUUCUGAAAAUUUUCUGACCUAAAUAGUUAUGAGCAUCACAUUUGCCUUUAAGAAUCCUGAAAAGCCUACCCACAAAUCUCCUGGAGCUCUGAAGACAGAGUUUAAAGACUGAUGACAAUUAUCUUGAAGAUAUCCAUAAUAUGUGUUUUAUAGUUAUGACAUAUGUAUUUAUUAGUUACAUAAUCAUGUUAGAAAAUUGUGUUUUAAUUUUUUUAACAUUCUGAAAUCUCUUUCUUCUAUUAAAAUUGAAUUUUGUUUAGAAAAGUG
Myodes glareolus (Bank vole) is the source of this 2793-nucleotide non-coding RNA. The record is from RefSeq and is a predicted model, not a curated record. Lineage: Eukaryota; Metazoa; Chordata; Mammalia; Rodentia; Cricetidae.